This 253-nucleotide ribosomal RNA is filed under the name uncultured bacterium. RNAcentral's name for it is "partial 16S ribosomal RNA". It matches the Rfam family "Bacterial small subunit ribosomal RNA", at positions 524 to 776 of the family's 1533-position model. The record is from RNAcentral.
UACGUAGGUGGCAAGCGUUAUCCGGAAUUAUUGGGCGUAAAGAGCGCGCAGGUGGUUAAUUAAGUCUGAUGUGAAAGCCCACGGCUUAACCGUGGAGGGUCAUUGGAAACUGGUUGACUUGAGUGCAGAAGAGGGAAGUGGAAUUCCAUGUGUAGCGGUGAAAUGCGUAGAGAUAUGGAGGAACACCAGUGGCGAAGGCGGCUUCCUGGUCUGUAACUGACGCUGAGGCUCGAAAGCGUGGGGAGCAAACAGG